AAGCCACGCUGUCCGAUAUGUCCCAGUCUGUGGCAGAACAGCGACAGAGCAAUGACCUGCAGGGCUAGCUAGAUAUUUAUUGUUCGGAGGACGUUAGAGCCAUAUGUUAAACACCUACGCUCCCUGGGUUCCCGCUAACAACACACUACCUCUAUCCAAGCAAUCCAGAUUGUUCUUCAAUUUUGAUGCAGAUUAUUUCCCGAAGAUCACCAUGCUUGAUUCCAUGGAAAGUGAGCAGAUGUCUGUACUUCUGUCAAUAUUCAUGGACAGGUAUGUAACAGGUACCACAGACGAGGUAUACAACAGGAGGAGGGCAACUGUAUUAGUGGAUCGAUAAUUUAAUCUUAUCGUGGACCUUUUUUAAACUAUAGGCGUUGGAAGUGAUGGAGAUGGAGGUGGUGUAGCGGACUCAGAUUUAGAUAGUAUGAUGAUAGACACAAACGUAACAGUAAUGUAUCCUGGACAGUGUAUUCCUCCAAAUAUGGCAUGCAAAACUAUUCUGUAUAUGAGGAAGGCAGACUGCCGCCCUGGUUAUGUCAACUUACACCUAGGUCAGAUAGGACAGGAAGGACAGCACAGUACAGAAAUGAUACGUAAUUCACUCGUAAGAAUUGCGAAUUUAACCUUCGUUUCGAGUGAUAUCUACAGGGAGCAUAAUAUCAGUUUCGUUAAUAAAGCGACAGGUGUGAAACAUGAAUCCAAUUGGCCAAGCUGUUCAUUUAAGUCAAAAAUAGACUGUGUUAGGUGCUUCUCGUGUAAAAGUUGGCCAAAGGAGGCUAAGGAAUGGGUUACACGUACACGUCUGUAUGGAUGGCCACAUAAAACCUUGAUAAAGAAGAUUGUAGACGGAGGUUGUUUUCUUGUGCCAAUAGGAGACAAAUGUUCUGAAGACACAUUUUUGCAAUGGCGACUAUCAUUUGCACCAGCAGAGACAUCUUUAGUUACCUCAUUUAGUCACAUUCAAUUUAAAGUGUAUAUGUUGCUGAAACUUUUCUUAAAAGUAAUAAAAGAGACAUUAAAGGAAACCAUCGGGGAUGACGAUAUCUUGUACUCCUAUUUUUUGAAGACAACUCUUUUCCAUGCAAUUGAGAAUUCCAACCAAAUGUUCUGGCAAGACAAACACUUAUUUUAUUGUUUUUGGUUUUGCUUGAACAUACUUAUUGCUUGGGUGAGGGCAGGAUUCUGUCCCAAUUACUUCUUCCCAACCGACAACUUGUUCCAAAGGAAAGUACAUGGACUAUCUCAACAAAUACUACUGGACUGUUUAAACAACUACUGUUUGAUGAAAUGGGAGUGUCUUUCAUGUCUUUCAUUUGGAAGGCCCUUCGACCUCUCAAUUUGGAAGUUUCUGUGUAAAACCGUAAAUCAAGAUAAACUUGUAUGCCCCCAAACUGUACAGGAAAUUGCUUGUCGGCAAGAUCAAGAAAUAAUUCACUCUACAGUGGGCAACCCACCACACCCUUUUAAUCUAAGGGAAAUGAAGGUAGCUAUUCAUUUACUAUCUACAUCACAUUCAGAUAUUGAUGAAGUUUUUACUUAUAUCCGUGCAAUAAAAUUCCUACUAGGAUUCGCUACAGAGCAAGUGUAUCCAGAUCACAUGGUCGCUACAGACAAUAAGUUACGGUAUAGGAGUUUAAGAAAAUGUAAACGCCUGAUGGCUCCAAUAGCCUCAAUGGGCACAGGGCUGUUGCAUUUGGCAACCUUUUGUUUCCUGACUGGGGAUGUUAGUAGAGCCCUGACGAUGUGCCAACAAGUUAUGAGACUAGCAUCAACUUAUACUACAAGCUGCCGUCAGAUACCACAUGCAAUGUUUCUGCAUGGGUAUCGUCCACAAAGACAAACAUUAGACAGGUUACGGAAAAUGUACACCGCCUGUAUUAUAUUUGAAGACAUCAACGUUUGUCUGCCACAUCUCUAUAUGGAAUUGUCAAAAUGGCCUAAUGAAGAAAUAAUUAUCCCACCACUACCGUAUGCUGUGUUCCUGUAUUUUCUGUGCUGUCAUGAGCUCGGAGAUACCAGAGGACGUGAUAAAGCAUUACGCCACCUGAUAAAGGUUCAGUAUGAUGACAAACAAGGAGGAAAUCGUUUCUAUAUAGUUCACACUAUACUGGGGAUCUGUUACCAAACUAUCGGGGACAAUCACCGGGCCAUCAGGGCUUACUGGGAGUCGGCACAAUCAAACAAUGCGACUGCUUAUUAUGAGGGGAAUCCGGCCAUUAAGAGGAUAACUGUGGUGUAUUUAUGUAUGUAUGCGUUACAAAGGUCUGAUAGAGGAUAGCUGUGGUGUAUCUAUGUAUGUAUGUCUGACAGAGGAUAACUGUGGUGUAUCUAUGUAUGUAUGUCUCACAGAGGUCUGAUAGAGAAUCUAUGUAUGUAUGUCUCAAAGAGGUCUGAUAGAGGAUGUCUCACAGAGGUCUGACUGAGAAUAGCUGUGGUGUAUCUAUGUAUGCAUGUCUCACAGAGGUCUGAUAGAGUAUAGCUGUGGUGUAAUUAUGUAUGUAUGUCUCACAGAGGUCAGAUAGAGGAUCUAUGUAUGUAUGUCUCACAGAGGUCUGAUAGAGAAUCUAUGUAUGUAUGUCUCACAGAGGUCUAAUACAGGAUCUAUGUAGGUAUGUCUCACAGAGGUCUGACAGAGCUGUGGUGUAUCUAUGUAGGUAUGUCUCACAGAGGUCAGAUAGAGGAUCUAUGUAUGUAUGUCUCACAGAGGUCUGAUAGAGGAUCUAUGUAUGUAUGUCUCACAGAGGUCCGAUAGAGAAUCUAUGUAUGUAUGUCUCACAGAGGUCUGAUAGAGAAUCUAUG
Mizuhopecten yessoensis (Yesso scallop) is the source of this 2799-nucleotide RNA transcript. RefSeq lists it as uncharacterized. The record is from RefSeq and is a predicted model, not a curated record. Lineage: Eukaryota; Metazoa; Mollusca; Bivalvia; Pectinida; Pectinidae. The transcript has 5 exons.